This 160-nucleotide ribosomal RNA is filed under the name uncultured bacterium. RNAcentral's name for it is "partial 16S ribosomal RNA". It matches the Rfam family "Bacterial small subunit ribosomal RNA", at positions 355 to 507 of the family's 1533-position model. The record is from RNAcentral.
UAGGGAAUCUUCCACAAUGGACGCAAGUCUGAUGGAGCAACGCCGCGUGGAUGAAGAAGGUCUUCGGAUCGUAAAAUCCUGUUGUUGAAGAAGAACGGUUGUGAGAGUAACUGCUCAUAGCGUGACGGUAAUCAACCAGAAAGUCACGGCUAACUACGUG